RNAcentral lists this long non-coding RNA (436 nucleotides) under Gossypium raimondii (Peruvian cotton). Its description in RNAcentral is "long non-coding RNA (GRAI_LNC008439)". Lineage: Eukaryota; Viridiplantae; Streptophyta; Magnoliopsida; Malvales; Malvaceae. The record is from RNAcentral.
UCAUUAGAUUAUCCCUAGGACCAUAGUGGCCCAUCAGGUCAUUACAUAACUCAAAAUUACAUAAAAAUGCUUAUUUUACUUAAAUUAAACACAAAAAAAAACUAAAAAUGAAAUAAAAACACAUAAAAAUGCUAUCAAACAACUUUGAUGAGUUUUGGAAAGACCUCAAUUUGCCACAACGAAUUGUGGUAGAUCAAACUCCCCCACAUUUAAGUUAUUCUUGUCCUUAAGCAACAAGAUAAAAAAAAAACAGAAUAAAACACAAACACACAAGAAAACAAAAUCAAAUAGUGCUUGAGCAUGUCAUAUGAAAGGACUAGAUCAGAACUAUGUACAUAGGACAAUGUGUAACGCCCUUAACCCAACCCGAAUCGUUGGAUUUAGAUCUUGGGUACUAUAUCAUGACUCUUAACAAAUUAUUUGAACAAACAUUACC